CGGGUUGUAAAGCUCUGUCGCCUGGGAAAAACGGCUAUUGGGGGAAAGUUCCAGUAGCGUGAUGGUACCAGGAGAGGAAGCACCGGCAAACUCUGUGC
This 98-nucleotide ribosomal RNA is filed under the name uncultured bacterium. RNAcentral describes it as "partial 16S ribosomal RNA". The record is from RNAcentral.